RNAcentral lists this ribosomal RNA (494 nucleotides) under uncultured bacterium. RNAcentral's name for it is "bacterial SSU rRNA". It matches the Rfam family "Bacterial small subunit ribosomal RNA", at positions 29 to 518 of the family's 1533-position model. The record is from RNAcentral.
AUGAACGCUAGCGACAGGCCUAACACAUGCAAGUCAGGGGCAGCACAAGGAGCAAUCUGAGGUGGCGACCGGCGCACGGGUGAGUAACACGUAUGCAACCUGCCUGUAAGCGGGGAAUAACCCGUUGAAAGACGGACUAAUACCGCAUAAUACUAAAUUACUGCAUGGUAAUUUAUUUAAACAUUUAUGGCUUACAGAUGGGCAUGCGCAUGAUUAGCUAGUUGGAGAGGUAACGGCUCCCCAAGGCAACGAUCAUUAGGGGUUCUGAGAGGAAGGUCCCCCACACUGGUACUGAGACACGGACCAGACUCCUACGGGAGGCAGCAGUGAGGAAUAUUGGUCAAUGGACGAGAGUCUGAACCAGCCAAGUCGCGUGCAGGAAGAAUGUCCCUAUGGAUUGUAAACUGCUUUUGCAGGGGAAUAAAGUGCAUCACGUGUGAUGUUUUGUAUGUACUCUGCGAAUAAGAAUCGGCUAACUCCGUGCCAGCCGCCGC